GGCUUCGUAGCUCAGCUGGUAGAGCAUGCGCGUACAAAGCGUAGGCGGUGUCCAUGCGUGGGUUCGAAUCCCGCCGAGGCUA
Molecule: transfer RNA, 82 nt
Filed under: Echinostoma caproni
Lineage: Eukaryota; Metazoa; Platyhelminthes; Trematoda; Plagiorchiida; Echinostomatidae
Rfam family: tRNA
About the family: Transfer RNA (tRNA) molecules are approximately 80 nucleotides in length. Their secondary structure includes four short double-helical elements and three loops (D, anti-codon, and T loops).
Source: Rfam by way of RNAcentral